CCGAUCAAGUUCUAUACACCGCCC
Molecule: non-coding RNA, 24 nt
Filed under: Arabidopsis thaliana (thale cress)
Lineage: Eukaryota; Viridiplantae; Streptophyta; Magnoliopsida; Brassicales; Brassicaceae
Source: RNAcentral